UACGUAGGGGGCAAGCGUUAUCCGGAUUUACUGGGUGUAAAGGGAGCGUAGACGGCCAUUCAAGCCAGAUGUGAAAGCCCGGGGCUCAACCCCGGGACUGUAUUUGGAACUGUAUGGCUGGAGUGUCGGAGAGGCAGGCGGAAUUCCUAGUGUAGCGGUGAAAUGCGUAGAUAUUAGGAGGAACACCAGUGGCGAAGGCGGCCUGCUGGACGAUGACUGACGUUGAGGCUCGAAAGCGUGGGGAGCAAACAGG
This 253-nucleotide ribosomal RNA is filed under the name uncultured bacterium. RNAcentral's name for it is "partial 16S ribosomal RNA". It matches the Rfam family "Bacterial small subunit ribosomal RNA", at positions 524 to 776 of the family's 1533-position model. The record is from RNAcentral.